Molecule: ribosomal RNA, 253 nt
Filed under: uncultured bacterium
Lineage: Bacteria
Description: partial 16S ribosomal RNA
Rfam family: Bacterial small subunit ribosomal RNA
Source: RNAcentral
UACGGGGGGGGCAAGCGUUGUUCGGAAUUACUGGGCGUAAAGGGCCAGUAGGCGGCCAACUAAGUCGGAUGUGAAAUCCCCAGGCUUAACUGGGGAGGGUCACGCGAUACUGAUCGACUCGAAGGCAGGAGAGGGUAGUGGAAUUCCCGGUGUAGUGGUGAAAUGCGUAGAUAUCGGGAGGAACACCAGUGGCGAAGGCGACUACCUGGCCUGUUCUUGACGCUGAGGCGCGAAAGCUAGGGGAGCAAACGGG